This 435-nucleotide ribosomal RNA is filed under the name uncultured bacterium. Its description in RNAcentral is "bacterial SSU rRNA". It matches the Rfam family "Bacterial small subunit ribosomal RNA", at positions 957 to 1392 of the family's 1533-position model. The record is from RNAcentral.
UAACGCGAAGAACCUUACCUGGUCUUGACAUACACAGAAUCUUGUAGAGAUACGAGAGUGCCUUCGGGAAUUGUGAUACAGGUGCUGCAUGGCUGUCGUCAGCUCGUGUCGUGAGAUGUUGGGUUAAGUCCCGCAACGAGCGCAACCCUUGUCCUUAGUUACCAGCACUUCGGGUGGGAACUCUAAGGAUACUGCCAGUGACAAACUGGAGGAAGGCGGGGACGACGUCAAGUCAUCAUGGCCCUUACGACCAGGGCUACACACGUGCUACAAUGGUAGGUACAGAGGGCAGCUACACAGCGAUGUGAUGCGAAUCUCAAAAAGCCUAUCGUAGUCCAGAUUGGAGUCUGCAACUCGACUCCAUGAAGUAGGAAUCGCUAGUAAUCGCGGAUCAGAAUGCCGCGGUGAAUACGUUCCCGGGUCUUGUACACACCG